AAGNNGGNUNGUUCCCCCCUGAAAGAAAAAAGGAGANNGAUUGAUAGUAAUUGAUAUCUUUCUUAUUUUGCCACGGGUGAGUAAAGAAUGGGCAACCUGCCCUUAAGAGGGGGAUAACACUAAGAAAUUGGUGCUAAUACCGCAUAACCUAGAGAGGUCACAUGACUUUUUUAGCAAAGGAGAAAUCCGCUUAAGGAUGGGCCCGCGUCUGAUUAGCUAGUUGGUGGGGUAACGGCCUACCAAGGCGACGAUCAGUAGCCGACCUGAGAGGGUGAUCGGCCACACUGGAACUGAGACACGGUCCAGACUC
This 310-nucleotide unclassified non-coding RNA is filed under the name uncultured bacterium. RNAcentral describes it as "partial contains 16S ribosomal RNA and 16S-23S ribosomal RNA intergenic spacer region". The stretch from base 73 to 310 matches the Rfam family "Bacterial small subunit ribosomal RNA", at positions 102 to 338 of the family's 1533-position model. The record is from RNAcentral.